GACGAACGCGGCGGCGUGCCUAAUACAUGCAAGUAGAACGCUGAAGGAGGAGCUUGCUUCUCUGGAUGAGUUGCGAACGGGUGAGUAACGCGUAGGUAACCUGCCUGGUAGCGGGGGAUAACUAUUGGAAACGAUAGCUAAUACCGCAUAAUAGCAGUUAUUGCAUGAUAACUGUUUGAGAGGUGCAAUUGCAUCACUACCAGAUGGACCUGCGUUGUAUUAGCUAGUUGGUGGGGUAACGGCUCACCAAGGCGACGAUACAUAGCCGACCUGAGAGGGUGAUCGGCCACACUGGGACUGAGACACGGCCCAGACUCCUACGGGAGGCAGCAGUAGGGAAUCUUCGGCAAUGGACGGAAGUCUGACCGAGCAACGCCGCGUGAGUGAAGAAGGUUUUCGGAUCGUAAAGCUCUGUUGUAAGAGAAGAACGAGUGUGAGAGUGGAAAGUUCACACUGUGACG
Molecule: ribosomal RNA, 461 nt
Filed under: Streptococcus mitis
Lineage: Bacteria; Bacillati; Bacillota; Bacilli; Lactobacillales; Streptococcaceae
Description: bacterial SSU rRNA
Rfam family: Bacterial small subunit ribosomal RNA
Source: RNAcentral